UCCUGGCUCAGAUUGAACGCUGGCGGCAGGCCUAACACAUGCAAGUCGAGCGGAUGAAGGGAGCUUGCUCCUGGAUUCAGCGGCGGACGGGUGAGUAAUGCCUAGGAAUCUGCCUGGUAGUGGGGGAUAACGUCCGGAAACGGGCGCUAAUACCGCAUACGUCCUGAGGGAGAAAGUGGGGGAUCUUCGGACCUCACGCUAUCAGAUGAGCCUAGGUCGGAUUAGCUAGUUGGUGGGGUAAAGGCCUACCAAGGCGACGAUCCGUAACUGGUCUGAGAGGAUGAUCAGUCACACUGGAACUGAGACACGGUCCAGACUCCUACGGGAGGCAGCAGUGGGGAAUAUUGGACAAUGGGCGAAAGCCUGAUCCAGCCAUGCCGCGUGUGUGAAGAAGGUCUUCGGAUUGUAAAGCACUUUAAGUUGGGAGGAAGGGCAGUAAGUUAAUACCUUGCUGUUUUGACGUUACCAACAGAAUAAGCACCGGCUAACUUCGUGCCAGCAGCCGCGGUAAUACGAAGGGUGCAAGCGUUAAUCGGAAUUACUGGGCGUAAAGCGCGCGUAGGUGGUUCAGCAAGUUGGAUGUGAAAUCCCCGGGCUCAACCUGGGAACUGCAUCCAAAACUACUGAGCUAGAGUACGGUAGAGGGUGGUGGAAUUUCCU
Molecule: ribosomal RNA, 660 nt
Filed under: Pseudomonas sp. Y3
Lineage: Bacteria; Pseudomonadati; Pseudomonadota; Gammaproteobacteria; Pseudomonadales; Pseudomonadaceae
Description: bacterial SSU rRNA
Rfam family: Bacterial small subunit ribosomal RNA
Source: RNAcentral